Molecule: transfer RNA, 69 nt
Filed under: Urocitellus parryii (Arctic ground squirrel)
Lineage: Eukaryota; Metazoa; Chordata; Mammalia; Rodentia; Sciuridae
Also listed under: 2 other names
Description: Spermophilus parryii (Arctic ground squirrel) tRNA
Rfam family: tRNA
About the family: Transfer RNA (tRNA) molecules are approximately 80 nucleotides in length. Their secondary structure includes four short double-helical elements and three loops (D, anti-codon, and T loops).
Source: Rfam by way of RNAcentral
GGGAUUGUGGCUCAGUGGCAGAGCACUUGCCUGGCAUGUGUGAGGCCCUGGGUUUGAUUCUCAGCCCCA